CAACUGCAGAGUUCCAGAGGCACAGGGCCACAGCAGAAGCUGGUGGGAAGCAUUUAUCCUGUGAGGCCAUCUGAGGUGGUUCCUCAGGUUUAUGCGGCUUCAGAGACACCAGUGAAAUUGCCGCUGCUGUUUCUCAAAUGUCCCAUCUGUUCCUGCUGUUUAUUCCCCUACUUGAAGGCUGAAUCCUUUGGCUCCCCAGUUAUUGUCAGUGCCCAAUUGUGAUGACGGCAGAGGGAGUGGUAGAAGGAAGCAUGUGGAAUCAAGAAACGGUGAUCGGCUGUCAUGAAAAUAUGUCAGAAGGAAAUGCAAAGACAGAGAGAAGCAAAAUUAUGGACAACAUUCCCAGAGCUCUGUAAUCAUCCCAGGCUACAUUUGAGUAUCUUGAAUUCUAGAAGAGUUUA
Molecule: long non-coding RNA, 401 nt
Organism: Peromyscus eremicus (cactus mouse)
Lineage: Eukaryota; Metazoa; Chordata; Mammalia; Rodentia; Cricetidae
Exons: 2
Source: RefSeq, a predicted model, not a curated record